AGUUGUUGCAACAGCUACGCACAGCUGUCCCUAUGACGUGGCCUCAUAUCCUUGCUAUCCCCACAUUACGAAAUCGACUUCACGAUUCUUAAGCUGGCCCGCUUCUCUUCCACUCUUAUUGAAACGACGUCACAUGCAACCAACACAUGGGUUAUUUACUUAGCUAGAAAAUACUUGCGACACCUUCUUCUGGUUUCACAAAAUCCCAAAUCAAAAACCCUAAAACACAAGACAGCCCCAAAUUGAUAGAAAACCCUAAAUUGAUAAUGGUGAAGCAGCGCCUCCAUCUCUGCGAGACAUCUCCGGGCAUCAAAUUCCCGGAUUAUCUCUCUCAUCCUCGGCUUCUUUACAGUAUCGCUGCCAGCGCGGGGACCCGGCGAUUCCCGACGCCGUCUCUUGACUCAGCGACAACGUCGCUCCUCCAUCCGGCUCCUUCUCGGCUAUUUAACAGCGGUGCGGUAUCGCCGUCUGCCGCCAGUCAGUUCCGCCGACGCCGCACGGCUAAGGCCCCGCCGCUUCCCGACUCGGAGGAACAGUCACUGCUGUCCCGUGACCUAUGGCAACUUCCGGGCUCCGUCGAUGCUCGCUCGUCGUCGGGCAGCCCUUCAGUUGUCGGCCUAAAGCUAAGUCCUCUGCCGUAGCCUAUUCCUCUUUUAUUUACUUCGAUUCUUAAUGAUUGUGAGUUAGUUUCUGCUCUUACGUGAGUUUCAUAGCUGAGGAAAAAAGUGAAAGUUUGUUGGGUGAGGAAAGGCUUAAGCUUCUUGUUCUUGUGCUUACUGUGGUGUGCAUUAGAAGUAAAAGUAAGGCUUUAAAUUUUCUUAUCCUAUGCAUGAUGUUCGACACGAGGCAGAGGUCGUGGAAGUGUUUUACUGUUUCUUCCAUUUAUUUUAUCAAGAUUUUGAAGUGGGGCUCUAACAUGCUUGAGGUUUUAGUUACUACAUGAUGACAUGAAACUAGUCGGGGAAGAGGAUGGAGGUGUAUUACCUCUUGAAGUAGCUACUGAUUCUUUUCCUCUGCUCCUAGAACUCACCGCUUUCCCACUUGUUUUUCUGGUUCCUUGUUGAUAAGUUAGGGAAAGGGUGAGCUUGGGUUUGAGCAUAAAGAAUUUGUGGAAUGGAAGAAAAAUAGCAUUACCUAUGGGUAGUAGGAACUGCCUGCAAGAACUCUGCAGAACUCUACUCCAAGCGAUCUCACUCUCAACUUGCUUUUGUGGCUGAAUUUUCAAAGUGUGUGGGGGGAAAGUUCAUAGGUGGCGUGGAGGGGGUUUUUAUAGGCAAAGAGUGUACUCGUGAGGCUUUAAUUGGAGCUGUUGUAUUGUUUUGUUCUCUUCCUGCAGCAAAUCUCCCUUUUCUUUGAUUUUGCAGCAACUUUAACUGGAAUUUGGUGGCGAUCUUUGAGAUAAGGACUAAUGCAUUUAUGUUAUUUGUUGGUUUCUUUUCUUUUCUUCAGAUGUACAUGGUGGAGAGGGAAGAAGUGCUGGUGCUGUUUUGGGGAGGAUAUUGCAGGCAUUGACUUGCCCCUUUUUUGUGAUGGGAAAACUGGGUUGUUAGUCAGGUGAUAAGGCUCGUUUCAUGCAUUGGUUUAGGGUGAUAUUACAUAUUUUUUGGGGAGAUAAUGCACAAAUUUGAGAUUAAAUGUGCAGGUAUCUGCUGGGUCAAGUAGAUGCUGCAAACUGACCGAGCAGAUGCAGAAUGAGUAGAAAAGGAGUAAAAAUGUCGAAAAUCCGCUAGGUCAAGGAGAAUUAUUAGGAGAGCAGGUAGUGCAAGGAAAAGGACAAAAGAGAGAGAAUUCAAAGACACCCUUAUUUUAAGGGUACAAACAUCAAAUCAUGAAGAGCAUAACCUAGGGAUUUGAGCUUGAAGCCUCCUUGUAUAAAGGGACUAACAUGAAUGAAGAAGGUAACGCUUAAGGCUAUCCUAGUUUAGGUAGGAAGCUCUUAUAGGCGCUUAAUGCCAUUGCUAUCUUAGUUUAGUGUAGAUAGUUAACUGCUUUCUUAACUUAGUUCAAUGGUAUCGACGGGGAAUUCACGACUCCGGUGUUGGAUCCUUGCUUUUUUUACCGCUUUUGAGACGCUGUAAUUAGAUCUCGAGUUUCAUUGGAGGAAUUGACAACUCCGCCGUUGGAUCUCGACUUAUUUCCAAUUUUAUAAAGCUUUUGUGUUUAUUUUCA
Salvia splendens (bonfire salvia) is the source of this 2169-nucleotide long non-coding RNA. RefSeq lists it as uncharacterized. The record is from RefSeq and is a predicted model, not a curated record. The transcript is spliced from 2 exons. NCBI's taxonomy places the organism in Eukaryota, Viridiplantae, Streptophyta, Magnoliopsida, Lamiales, Lamiaceae.